This 450-nucleotide ribosomal RNA is filed under the name uncultured bacterium. Its description in RNAcentral is "partial 16S ribosomal RNA". It matches the Rfam family "Bacterial small subunit ribosomal RNA", at positions 354 to 796 of the family's 1533-position model. The record is from RNAcentral.
GUGGGGAAUUUUGGACAAUGGGGGCAACCCUGAUCCAGCCAUGCCGCGUGCGGGAAGAAGGCCUUCGGGUUGUAAACCGCUUUUGUCAGGGAAGAAAUCCUUUGGGUUAAUACCUCGGAGGGAUGACGGUACCUGAAGAAUAAGCACCGGCUAACUACGUGCCAGCAGCCGCGGUAAUACGUAGGGUGCGAGCGUUAAUCGGAAUUACUGGGCGUAAAGCGUGCGCAGGCGGUUUUGUAAGAUCGAUGUGAAAUCCCCGGGCUCAACCUGGGAACUGCAGUGGUGACUGCAAGGCUGGAGUGCGGCAGAGGGGGAUGGAAUUCCGCGUGUAGCAGUGAAAUGCGUAGAUAUGCGGAGGAACACCGAUGGCGAAGGCAAUCCCCUGGGCCUGCACUGACGCUCAUGCACGAAAGCGUGGGGAGCAAACAGGAUUAGAUACCCGGGUAGUCC